UUGAACGCUGGCGGCAGGCCUAACACAUGCAAGUCGAGCGGAUGAGGGGAGCUUGCUCCUGGAUUCAGCGGCGGACGGGUGAGUAAUGCCUAGGAAUCUGCCUGGCAGUGGGGGAUAACGUCCGGAAACGGGCGCUAAUACCGCAUACGUCCUGAGGGAGAAAGUGGGGGAUCUUCGGAACUCACGCUAUCAGAUGAGCCUAGGUCGGAUUAGCUAGUUGGUGGGGUAAAGGCCUACCAAGGCGACGAUCCGUAACUGGUCUGAGAGGAUGAUCAGUCACACUGGAACUGAGACACGGUCCAGACUCCUACGGGAGGCAGCAGUGUGGAAUAUUGGACAAUGGGCGAAAGCCUGAUCCAGCCAUGCCGCGUGUGUGAAGAAGGUCUUCGGAUUGUAAAGCACUUUAAGUUGGGAGGAAGGGCAGUAAGUUAAUACCUUGCUGUUUUGACGUUACCAACAGAAGAAGCACCGGCUAACUUCGUG
This 483-nucleotide ribosomal RNA is filed under the name uncultured bacterium. Its description in RNAcentral is "partial 16S ribosomal RNA". It matches the Rfam family "Bacterial small subunit ribosomal RNA", at positions 30 to 507 of the family's 1533-position model. The record is from RNAcentral.